Molecule: long non-coding RNA, 2904 nt
Filed under: Equus asinus (donkey)
Lineage: Eukaryota; Metazoa; Chordata; Mammalia; Perissodactyla; Equidae
Description: lncRNA (ENSEASG00005026571.1)
Source: RNAcentral
CCCCAAAGUACAGUGACCUAGAUAAAACCACGCUAACAUUUUGGGAAAAAACACUGGGAACUUCUGGUCCUGUUGCCUGUGUUAACUAGGCCAAGAGGCCCAUGGCAGGAGAAGUAACCUUUAAAACCAAUAAAUGGUACCUAUACCAGAUAUCUGCAGGAAGGAUCCAUCUAACUGCACAGUGAUGGUUCACAGUGAUUUAACAUAUGUGAAGUCACGUGGGCCCAGGAGGCCCAACUCCAUAAGCUGUUGGACCAACUGAGGCAGCAAAGCCAUGAGGAAACACUGAAGUUUCACCUGGAAAAUACCCAAUAUAUUCUCCAAAACAUGAAAUACUGGUAGGCAAACCAGAUUCAAAAAGACAGAAGGGGAUGGCCUGAAAUCCAUAAUUAAGGUCAGAUGAAGCCUGCUUAGGAGCCCAGGGGUGUGCCCAGGAAGUUCAAGAUGAAAAUCUUGCCUCUAACUUUGGAGAAUGUUGUGGACUUUGCUGCUCUGUUCUCAGCCAACUCAGGAGGUUCCAGGGAGAAUUUUGAUCUGAAUAGCUUAUGGAGGGAGGUUUCAAGGUCAUGUAAUUUAAACAAGUGCAGUCAAAGAGAUGGCUGUAAGUGAGGAAAGCAGGGCUCCUGGAGUGGUGAGAGUCACUAGGACAGAUGGGAGAGAUGGGGGGCUGGGGAGGGUGUGGGUGCACCAACGAUGCACUCCUCGGGUCCCCAAGAUGCCAGAUGUCUGGGAAGCAGCUGCCACCAUGGCCUUUACCACUGCAGCCACCGCCAGUGCCAUUUCCCCAACUGCCAAGUACACCACCGCAGUAGGCUGGACAGGGAAGUAAAAAGUAGGUUCCAAGUUCACCACUGUGGUCUCAAAUCUGGACCUGGGCAUGUUGGGAUUGGGUCUGAUAGGAGCUGUGGGGCAAGAGGAAUUACCCUGAGGCAGGGGCAUGAAGAUCCCUGAGCUCCUCUCCAAGUGUCAUUUGUUGCAUUUGCACCUGUUGAGCUGAGGUGGAUCCCUGCCCCAGAGGUGACCAGAGGCAGCCCCCUCCACAUGCCACACCACAGGGGGUCCCACCCCACACAAUGCUUCCCAGGAGGCUGUGGGACACCACCCCCACUGCUGGUGCCCUUGCACCAGCUGCUGCCAAGUUCGUCAUCCUCCCUCGGGAGCCCGGCCUGGGCUGGAAGGGGCCCGAAUGUGGAGGGGCUGAGACACAGUUUGGGCACACUAGCUGCAUGGCAGCCUUCUGCUCCAACCAGGCUGAUGACAACUGCCAGGGUACUUUCAGGUCUCAGGAGCCUUUUCCCCAUCCUAGACCCCAGACAGAGACUCAUCCCAGGAAGCUGGAAUGGCUGGCCUCCUUCAGACAAAGCAGGCUCCUCCAGAGGAUACACCUCUCCCUGUGCCCUUCCACAGUGCACCCAGGGAGAUGGCCAGGGGAAGGCCUGCCUUGGACCUUAGUCAUGGAUUUCUCUCAAGAGUAGAGCUCUGGGCAGCAGGAGGGCAUGGCUUUAGUGACUCCAGUGUGAAGGGAGGUGCCUGCCCAUGGAAGGGCAGGCCUGCCAAUUUCCCCACUAUUUCCACAGGGGGCGUGGCAUGCCUAGUAUGGCCACACUCCUUUGGCUAGUGUUCCUGAGCCCUGUUCACUUGUCAAACAUUUACUGCUCCCUGAGUUGAAAAGUUCCUUCCUGACGGGAGGCCUUGUUCUGUCAAACAAUAAAGGAGGCCCCGGAUGAUCAGCAUGCAGGAGGGAUAGCCUUGCCCUGCCCCCUGGUCCCUGAUGGGCAAAGAGGGAAAGAAAGCUAUUUUCAAAGGAUGGGAGUGGGACCUGAGCAGAAGGGGAGAAGGGGAUGUGAGACAGAGUUGUAGAAGUUGUGAAUCCCAGUUCACCAGCAGAUGCACCCGGCCACCACCAGUGGGCUCCCCCACACUUUCAGUGCCACAAGGACCUGUCCCUCAGCAAGCCCAAGGGCCUUUCUGAGACCAGUCACCUUUGCUGUGCAUGCGUAGAUAGAAAGAAGGGUUUUCCCUCCAUGGAGCAGGACUUCCAGAGUGCUAACAGUCAAUAAGACCCAUGGGAUUUGUCAGUCAGUUGGGGAGGGGCGGGUGCACCCACCAUCCUCUCUUCAUUUCCCUGAGAUCCUAGAUCUGGUGAGAGUCACUUGAGGUUUCCAUGAAAUUAGUGGAGUUCUCACUGUGUUGUAGGGGGUCUUGUUGAGGUAAUGGUUGGCCUCUGUGAUAUCAGGUCUUGGUGAGGUCACAGGGGGGGUCUCUAUAAUGUCACUAGAGGUUUCUUGGAGGUCAUGGGAGUUCUUUGUGUGUUCAGGGAGUUCUCUGUGAAAUCAGGAGACCUCACUUUGAGGGAAGAGGGCUUCACUAUGAGGUCAGUGGAGGUCUCUGGGUGGUCAGACAAGUCUCUGUGUGGGCAUGGGAUGUCUCUAUCUGGUCAGGGGGAGUGUCUAAAGUGUCAGGGGAUGUCUCUGUUAGGUCAGCUGAGAUCUCUGUCUGUCAGCGAGGGCAGAAGGGGCCUCUAUGAGGUCAGAGGUGGUCUCUGUGAGGUCAUGGUGUUACCAAAAUCAAAGUGGGUUGAAUCCUUGAGAGUUAAGUUGUCAUGAGCACACUAAAGCUAUUUGGGGACAUAAACCUUGCCUUGUUUCUUUUUCAUCCAGCCCUUGACUAUUGGGGACUACUGAUAAUGCUGUGUAGUAGCUUCCCUAACUUCAUCUGUAGUAAGUUCACAGAAGGUGUCAGUUCACACAAGGGCAGUGUGGAAAUUAAUGGUAACUACAGAAGCUCUCCUGAUGGAGCGGCCAUUUUUGCAGCUGCAGCUGCCACUUUAUGUCCUUUUGUGGAAUCUGAUUCCUCACUUUGAUGGGCUUUACCAUGGAUCCCAGCUACUUUCUUGGGGACCUG